AAAAUUUAUGGAAUAUUUUGUUCUGUAAACCCAAUCCGCGUAUCUGUUACUGUUGCUUCCGUGAGCCAUGGCUCUGCCCACAUCGGCCUCUCGCGGCUGGCGAGCGCUCACGGUAAGGAAUCAUCAACUCUGUGUUUAGUUUGCCUUGUCUGACAUAUCAAGCAAAUGUUA
RNAcentral lists this unclassified non-coding RNA (171 nucleotides) under uncultured fungus. RNAcentral's name for it is "sequence contains ITS1". The record is from RNAcentral. Lineage: Eukaryota; Fungi.